CCUACGGGGGGCUGCAGUGAGGAAUCUUGCACAAUGGGCGCAAGCCUGAUGCAGCGACGCCGCGUGAAUGAUGAAGGCUUUCGGGUUGUAAAGUUCAGUAAGCAGGGAAGAAUAAGUGGAAGAUAAUACCUUCCAUGAUGACGGUACUUGCCUAAAGCCCCGGCUAACUACGUGCCAGCAGCCGCGGUAAUACGUAUGGGGCGAGCGUUGUUCGGAAUUAUUGGGCGUAAAGGGCGUCUAGGCGGGAGAUUAAGUUAGGUGUGAAAGCUAUGGGCUCAACCCAUAAACUGCAUCUAAAACUGAUUUUCUUGAGUUCGGGAGAGGAGAGCGGAAUUCCAGGUGUAGCGGUGAAAUGCGUAGAUAUCUGGAAGAACACCAGUGGCGAAGGCGGCUCUCUGGCCUAGGACUGACGCUGAAGCGCGAAAGCGUGGGGAGCGAACAGGCUUAGAUACCCCAGUAGUC
RNAcentral lists this ribosomal RNA (462 nucleotides) under uncultured bacterium. RNAcentral describes it as "bacterial SSU rRNA". It matches the Rfam family "Bacterial small subunit ribosomal RNA", at positions 338 to 795 of the family's 1533-position model. The record is from RNAcentral.